GACCGGAAGUCACUAUUUUCGGAGUUACAGCGUUUCAAAGUUUUCGUAAAUGUAAAUGUUUAAAAAUCGGAAACCCUUUGUUUCACACGACGAUAUCUCCGGAACCGGA
This is a non-coding RNA of Apis mellifera (honey bee), 109 nucleotides long. The record is from RefSeq and is marked provisional. Lineage: Eukaryota; Metazoa; Arthropoda; Insecta; Hymenoptera; Apidae.